This 486-nucleotide ribosomal RNA is filed under the name uncultured bacterium. Its description in RNAcentral is "partial 16S ribosomal RNA". It matches the Rfam family "Bacterial small subunit ribosomal RNA", at positions 30 to 507 of the family's 1533-position model. The record is from RNAcentral.
AUUGAACGCUGGCGGCAUGCCUUACACAUGCAAGUCGAACGGCAGCACGGGUGCUUGCACCUGGUGGCGAGUGGCGAACGGGUGAGUAAUACAUCGGAACAUGUCCUGUAGUGGGGGAUAGCCCGGCGAAAGCCGGAUUAGUACCGCAUACGAUCUACGGAUGAAAGCGGGGGACCUUCGGGCCUCGCGCUAUAGGGUUGGCCGAUAGCUGAUUAGCUAGUUGGGGGGGUAAAGGCCUACCAAGGCGACGAUCAGUAGCGGGUCUGAGAGGACGACCAGCCACACUGGGACUGAGACACGGCCCAGACUCCUACGGGAGGCAGCAGUGGGGAAUUUUGGACAAUGGGCGAAAGCCUGAUCCAGCAAUGCCGCGUGUGUGAAGAAGGCCUUCGGGUUGUAAAGCACUUUUGUCCGGAAAGAAAUCCUUGGCUCUAAUACAGUCGGGGGAUGACGGUACCGGAAGAAUAAGCACCGGCUAACUACGUG